This 253-nucleotide ribosomal RNA is filed under the name uncultured bacterium. RNAcentral's name for it is "partial 16S ribosomal RNA". It matches the Rfam family "Bacterial small subunit ribosomal RNA", at positions 524 to 776 of the family's 1533-position model. The record is from RNAcentral.
UACGUAGGGGCCAAGCGUUGUUCGGAUUUACUGGGCGUAAAGGGCGCGUAGGCGGCGUGGUAAGUCAGUUGUGAAAUCUCCGAGCUUAACUCGGAACGGCCAACUGAUACUGCUGUGCUAGAGUGCAGAAGGGGCAAUCAGAAUUCUUGGUGUAGCGGUGAAAUGCGUAGAUAUCAAGAGGAAUACCUGAGGUGAAGACGGGUUGCUAGGCUGACACUGACGCUGAGGCGCGAAAGCCAGGGGAGCAAACGGG